RNAcentral lists this unclassified non-coding RNA (197 nucleotides) under plant metagenome. RNAcentral describes it as "partial contains small subunit ribosomal RNA, internal transcribed spacer 1, and 5.8S ribosomal RNA". The record is from RNAcentral.
UCUCCGUUGGUGAACCAGCGGAGGGAUCAUUACCGAGUGCAAACUCAUAACCCUUUGUGAACCUAUAUCUGUUGCUUCGGCGGCUCGCUCUCGGGCGAGCCCGCCGGUAAUAUCAGUAUCUCUGUUUGAACCCGGCGAUACUUCUGAGUGUUCUUAGCGAACAGUUAAAACUUUUAACAACGGAUCUCUUGGCUCUA